AAAGUCGUAACAAGGUUUCCGUAGGUAUGUUGAACCGAAUCUCCUCGCUCUUCAUGGGAAACCGUCGCUAACAUAUCUUUCAGGUGAACCUGCGGAAGGAUCAUUACAGUGUUAGGCUUCGGCCUUAUUCACACCCCUUGUUGAACCUCUGGUUUCUUUGGCGAUGUCAAUCGUCAAACUUUAACUCUGAUAAUGUGGUACUGUCCGAGUCCAAUUGAAUUAUCAAAACUUUCAACAACGGAUCUCUUGGUUCCA
Molecule: unclassified non-coding RNA, 255 nt
Filed under: Ascomycota sp.
Lineage: Eukaryota; Fungi; Ascomycota
Description: partial contains small subunit ribosomal RNA, internal transcribed spacer 1, and 5.8S ribosomal RNA
Source: RNAcentral